Long non-coding RNA from Mercurialis annua (annual mercury), 878 nucleotides. RefSeq lists it as uncharacterized. Lineage: Eukaryota; Viridiplantae; Streptophyta; Magnoliopsida; Malpighiales; Euphorbiaceae. The record is from RefSeq and is a predicted model, not a curated record. The transcript is spliced from 7 exons.
AUUUUUUUAAAAAAAUAGCAAACUCCUGAACCGUCCAUGAUGAGGAUUUUUCCAUCAGUAACAGCAGCGCCUCCACGUUUUUGAAUUACGAGGAGAUUCCUCUUGCCCCUGAAGCUGCUUGUGUUGGACUGCAAAUCAGGGUCGCUGACAAUGACAGUGGUGAAGAAGGAUAUAUAAUGACUUCAAUACAUUUUACAUGCAAGCUGCAUCUGGGACUAAGGGUGGCUCAAGUGAUUGAUUGGCAAUGAAGGGCUGUAGCCUCGAAUGUUGGCAGCAAGUCCUCAAGUGCUUUUUCCAAUUUCUUACCCUUAGAACGAGUUGUGAGCUCAUUUAAAUUGCUUCAGAAGGGAAGAGACUCUUAUACAAGUAAUUGGGAAUCAGUUCCAAUAACUCGAGGUAACAUUUUUUCAUAAAGGAAUUGAUGAGACACACCGGCUUGGUCUCCAAACUUCAAAGUGAAACCGAGCAGAAACUAGAUUGCUUGUUGUGGAUUCUGUGGUGAGCUUGUUUUUGGCUUUAUGCUCUGAAUAGUGAGACCAGAAGAAUAAAAUGGAAGUCUCAGUGGGGUGUUCUUACAUGUUUCUGGUGCUAGGUGGUCCAGCUUUUCAACAGUUAGAACCAGGCGAUGUGCUUGUCCGUGUAAAUGGCGAAGCAAGUUUUAAGUUUAUUCACACUAAAGAGUUGGGCCUUUGUAGAUGAAGAUGACUGAAUGAUUUAUUAAUUGUUGGCAUUUUCUGUGAGUACUUUUGUAAAUUUAAAAAUAAAAUCAUUUAUGCCGAGAUGAUUUUUUUUUUUUCAUGUGCCUCUUAGGCUUUGCAUAGGGGUUUAGUCAUGGAGGUGGAGGGUAAUGGGAUCGAAUCUAAUCUGAUGUUAUUUUA